Molecule: RNA transcript, 864 nt
Organism: Haliotis rubra (blacklip abalone)
Lineage: Eukaryota; Metazoa; Mollusca; Gastropoda; Lepetellida; Haliotidae
Exons: 6
Source: RefSeq, a predicted model, not a curated record
UUUUUCGGGGGCAACCUUCUACUGUCAAGAUGAAGAUCGGCUGUGUCCUUGUGGCGCUUCUCUUCUGUGGACUCAUUUCUCAGAUUGAUGGUGUAUGCCGCUGCAGACGGGGAUGUCGCUACCACCCAAGACGUCAGUGUAGGGGGAUAUCAAAUAAAUGUUACGAUGGGUGGUCUGGUGCCUAUUGCCAAAGAAAAAAUGUCGCCUUCGAAGGAAGAAACUGCUCAAGAAUGAUCAUUACUCGGUGAUGAUGAGUCCUGAAAGUGCUGUGGACGGACACACUAAUACAGGCACCACAAUGCAAUGUGCCAUGACAGGGGACGCUAACAACGCAUGGUGGAAUGUUCUGGCUUUCCAGGAACGGAAUCAAUCAAAUCAAAUUCAUGAAAAUAUACAGCGCAGAAUACGAUCCUGAAAGACGGACGGACCGGAAUGGAAAUUCUGAGUCCAAUGGGAGUCUGUGCUACCAGGUUUCCACCAUGGGAUAUCCCUGAAGUAGUAGAAUCCAUCGCAUGUGCUGAAACCAUGGUUGGAGAUGUUGUUACCAUCCGGGUCCCUGGCUCUCAUCUCACGCUGUGUGAGGUGGAGGUCUAUGUUUGCGCUGACUACUGGUUUGGGCUGAAUUGCGACAAGGAGUGCCACUGUUCAAUCCGAGGUGAAAUUUGCGAUAAAGGAACUGGCGAGUGUGAGAGAGUGGAUGUGCUCAAGGGUAUAGCGGGACAGACUGUCAGUGAGGCGCUGUAGAUAGGAGACGAUGGUACCACAUGCUUUCCUUGCCCACAACAAUAGCAAUUGCUACAACACAGUUAACGAUAUGUUUUUGUAAAGGAGAUAACUGUAUCACAAUAAACCUUUAGUUCAUCA